Haemorhous mexicanus (house finch) is the source of this 2655-nucleotide long non-coding RNA. RefSeq lists it as uncharacterized. The transcript has 2 exons. The record is from RefSeq and is a predicted model, not a curated record. NCBI's taxonomy places the organism in Eukaryota, Metazoa, Chordata, Aves, Passeriformes, Fringillidae.
UCUUUAUUUUCUUUUUAAACAAACAGCCCUCCGAGCCUUGGCCUGGGGCCUUGGGUGUAAAAGGGGCGUAGGGUCAAGCGUGGCAUUUCCAUGAUCAGAGAGCCAGACUGGGAAAGGGAAAAAGGAAAAUCAGGUUCCACACAAGGGGGGUGGAGGAGAAGCUGUUUCAUUCCUGAGGGACCCUGCAGGUGAGAGAUCUCUCUGCACUCACCUGUGCAGGUGAGUGCCCUGCCUCAGUGGGACACGCCCUGGGGGUGACAGUCCCCAACCUGUGCAGGACAAGGGGGCUCCAGGCACAGGGUUUACACCCUGGGAAGAGGCACCAAAUCUGUGGAUUCAAUGGCUCCUGCCCCAAUUUGCCUCACAGGCAGCCAUGGUCACAACCCCUGUGACCCCUCACAGUGACCGUGCUGUCCCCACCCCUCCUGCAGAGCCUCUGGGGUCACACUGAACCCCCUGAGACCUCCAACAGCUGGGGAUUAAUCCCAGGGGCUGUUCCUGGGUUCCCAUCCCAGGGGGUGAUCCCAAGUUGGGUGUUCCUAGGGGGCGAUCCCGGGUUCCAGUCCCAGGGGCUGUUCCCAGAUUCCCAUCCCCAGGGGAGUGAUCCAAAGUUGGUUCCCAUCCCCAAGGGGGUGUUCCCAGGUUCCCAUCCCAGGUAGGUGAUCCCAAGUUGGUUCCCAUCCCAGGUGGGUGUUCCCAGGUUCCCAGGGUGUGUUUGGGAGCCAGGACAGCCCAAUGCCCACCUCGCCCCCAGCCCAGAGCUGAGUGCCACCUCCACGUGUUCCUUGGACACUCCAGGGAUGAGCACUCCAAACCUCCCUGGGCAGUUCCAAGCCCUGAGCUCCCUUUCCAGGAGAAAUUCCUGCUGGUGCCCACCCUGAGGCUCCCCUGAGGCCGUUCCCUCUGCUCCUGUCCCUGUUCCCUGGAGCAGAGCCCGACCCCCCUGGCUGUCCAGGAGCUGUGCAGAGCCACAAGGUCCCCCUGAGCCUCCUUUGCUCCAGGCUGAGCCCCCUCCCAGCUCCCUCAGGAAUUCUCCAGCCCCUUCCCAGCUCCUCAGGAAUUCUCCAACCCCUUCCCAGCUCCCUCAGGAAUUCUCCAUUCCCUUCCCAGCUCCCUCAGGAAUUCUCCAUUCCCUUCCCAGCUCCCUCAGGAAUUCUCCAGCCCCUUCCCAGCUCCCUCAGGAAUUCUCCAGCCCCUUCCCAGCUCCUCAGGAAUUCUCCAGCCCCUUCCCAGCUCCCUCAGGAAUUCUCCAGCCCUUCCCAGCUCCCUCAGGAAUUCUCCAUCCCCUUCCCAGCUCCCUCAGGAAUUCUCCAUCCCCUUCCCAGCUCCCUCAGGAAUUCUCCAUUCCCUUCCCAGCUCCCUCAGGAGUUCUCCAGCCCCUUCCCAGCUCUGGACAGGCUCCAGCCCCUCAUGCUCUCCCUUGUCACAAAGGGCCCAAGACUGAGCCAGGGUUUGAGGUCCCUCGGCAGGGGCAGCACAAGGGGCUGGGGUCACUGCCCUGGCCCAGUGGCCACGCUGGGACUGGUCCAGGCCAGGUGCCAUUGGCCUCCUGCCCACCUGGGCACAGCUGGGCACAGCUGGGCCCGUGUCCAGCUGCUGUCCCCAGCACCCCCAGGGCCUUUCCAGCUUUUCAGCCCCUUUUCCCUGAGCCUGGAGUGUGACCCGAGGGCAGCUCCCAGCAUUAGCUGAGCCUCACCCCACGGAUCCCGUGGAUCUCAUGGAUCCAGCCUGCCCAGAUGGAUCCUCAGCAAAGAAAACCCCCCGAGCCAGCCUUAGGAAAAGAUUUUCCAUUUAAUACUAGACUCUCAGGAUUGAGAUGCAGGCUUUUUAUGCAAUUACAUCCAAUGUUAAAAUUGGUAAUACAUAAUUUACAAAGAUUAACAUCAAAACAAUGAUCUAUUUAGAUAUGCUUUGUAAAAAGGAAAUAUAUUAGCAGCAUUUAUUUUCAGCAAUCACACAGCCUACACCCAUGCAGACUAAGGUUCAGCUCUAUUUGCAGUAACGUAGUGCUUCUGGCUCCGGCGGCGCUCCUGGGGACACACGGGUCUGCUCAGUAUUAUAAAAUAACCAAAAAAUAAAAAAAGUCAUUAAUUUCUACACCAGUAAGAAAAAACAAUUCUUUGCACUUACCUAACAUUUGAUUGUCUAAAAAACAUUUUGUUUAGUCUUUCAACAAAAGAAAGAUAAAAUGACAGAGCUAGUGUCUCGCUUCUGUACGCACUUUAUUUUUUUUAUUUUUUUUUUAAAAACUUUUUAGUGUUUAACACCAUUUGAGACAAUGAUUUCUGUUUGAAACUAAAUGAGACAACUCGAGGGGUUGGACAUGCGAUAUUCCUACUACACGCACGAGUAUUUUAUACUCAGGGUUCCUGGUACUGUACAGUGCUUCUCUACAGUAAGAAAAUAUUCCAAACUAUUUUCUUAUUUCUUUUUUUUUUUAAUAAAAUAUUUUUUUUCUCAAAGGGUUUUUUUCCUUUCUUUUUUUUUUUGGUGUUUUUUUUUGUUUUGUUUUUUCUCUUUUUAAAUCAACACAUAAAAGUUAAUGGAAUGAGUCAUGUUCCACUAAGAGUAAAAUAAUUAUAAUAAUAACAAGAAUGUACAUUAGGACGAGCUUGGUCCAUAAAAAGGAACAUGUAACUACGGUAUUGCUUUACA